This 442-nucleotide ribosomal RNA is filed under the name uncultured bacterium. RNAcentral describes it as "bacterial SSU rRNA". It matches the Rfam family "Bacterial small subunit ribosomal RNA", at positions 29 to 506 of the family's 1533-position model. The record is from RNAcentral.
AUGAACGCUGGCGGCGUGUCUAAGGCAUGCAAGUCGAAUGGGUUUAGACCCAUGGCAAACGGGUGAGUAACACAUUGGUAACUUACCUCGAAGUUCGGCAUAACCUUCCGAAAGGAAGAAUAAUACCGGAUGUGUUCAACUGCCACAUGGUGGUUGAGUAAAGAUUUAUCGCUUCGAGAGAGACCCAUGGCUUAUCAGCUAGUUGGUGAGGUAAUAGCCCACCAAGGCAAUGACGAGUAGCGGGUGUGAGAGCACGACCCGCCUCACUGGGACUGAGACACUGCCCAGACUCCUACGGGAGGCUGCAGUCAAGAAUAUUCCACAAUGGACGAAAGUCUGAUGGAGCGACGCCGCGUGACUGAUGACGCCCUUCGGGGUGUAAAGGUCUUUUAUAUGUCAAGAAAAUGACGGUAGCAUAUGAAUAAGCACCGGCUAACUCCGU